GCCUGGGGUGGUGGUGCACGCCUGUAAUCCCAGUACCUUGGGAGGCUGCGGCAGGAGAAUCACGAGUUCAAAGCCAGCCUCAACAAAAGCUAAGCAAAUGAGUGAGACCCAGUCUCUA
This 118-nucleotide small RNA is filed under the name Marmota monax (woodchuck). Lineage: Eukaryota; Metazoa; Chordata; Mammalia; Rodentia; Sciuridae. The record is from RNAcentral.